GGGUAGGGGAGCGUUCUGUAAGCCGUUGAAGGUGGUCUGUAAGGGCUGCUGGAGGUAUCAGAAGUGCGAAUGCUGACAUGAGUAACGAUAAAGGGAGUGAAAAACUCCCUCGCCGGAAGACCAAGGGUUCCUGUCCAACGUUAAUCGGGGCAGGGUAAGUCGACCCCUAAGGCGAGGCUGAAAAGCGUAGUCGAUGGGAAACGGGUUAAUAUUCCCGUACUUCUUAUAAUUGCGAUGGGGGGACGGAGAAGGCUAGGUGGGCUUGGCGACGGUCGUCCAAGUUCAAGUGCGUAGGCUAAGAGUUUAGGUAAAUCCGGACUCUUGUUAGGCUGAGACACGAUGUCGAGCUACUACGGUAGUGAAGCCAUUGAUGCCAUGCUUCCAGGAAAAGCCUCUAAGCUUCAGAUUAUAAGAAAUCGUACCCCAAACCGACACAGGUGGUCGAGUAGAGAAUACUAAGGCGCUUGAGAGAACUCGGGUGAAGGAACUAGGCAAAAUGGUACCGUAACUUCGGGAGAAGGUACGCUCCUAGCGGUGAUGAGACUUGCUCUCUAAGCUGCCGGGAGUCGCAGAUACCAGGUGGCUGCAACUGUUUAUUAAAAACAUAGCACUGUGCUAAAUCGUAAGAUGACGUAUACGGUGUGACGCCUGCCCGGUGCUUGAAGGUUAAUUGAUGGGGUUAGACUUCGGUCGAAGCUCUUGAUCGAAGCCCAAGUAAACGGCGGCCGUAACGAUAACGGUCCUAAGGUAGCGAAAUUCCUUGUCGGGUAAGUUCCGACCUGCACGAAUGGCGUAACGAUGGCGGCGCUGUCUCCACCCGAGACUCAGUGAAAUUGAAAUCGCUGUGAAGAUGCAGUGUAUCCGCGGCUAGACGGAAAGACCCCGUGAACCUUUACUAUAGCUUUGCACUGGACUUUGAGUUUGCUUGUGUAGGAUAGGUGGGAGGCUUUGAAGCGUGGACGCCAGUUCGCGUGGAGCCAACCUUGAAAUACCACCCUGGCAACCUUGAGGUUCUAACUCUGGUCCGUUAUCCGGAUCGAGGACAGUGUAUGGUGGGUAGUUUGACUGGGGCGGUCUCCUCCUAAAGAGUAACGGAGGAGUACGAAGGUGCGCUCAGACCGGUCGGAAAUCGGUCGUAGAGUAUAAAGGCAAAAGCGCGCUUGACUGCGAGACAGACACGUCGAGCAGGUACGAAAGUAGGUCUUAGUGAUCCGGUGGUUCUGCAUGGAAGGGCCAUCGCUCAACGGAUAAAAGGUACUCCGGGGAUAACAGGCUGAUACCGCCCAAGAGUUCAUAUCGACGGCGGUGUUUGGCACCUCGAUGUCGGCUCAUCACAUCCUGGGGCUGAAGCCGGUCCCAAGGGUAUGGCUGUUCGCCAUUUAAAGUGGUACGCGAGCUGGGUUUAGAACGUCGUGAGACAGUUCGGUCCCUAUCUGCCGUGGGCGUUGGAUGAUUGAAAGGGGCUGCUCCUAGUACGAGAGGACCGGAGUGGACGAACCUCUGGUGUUCCGGUUGUCACGCCA
This 1523-nucleotide ribosomal RNA is filed under the name Gammarus chevreuxi. RNAcentral describes it as "bacterial LSU rRNA". It matches the Rfam family "Bacterial large subunit ribosomal RNA", at positions 1226 to 2731 of the family's 2925-position model. Lineage: Eukaryota; Metazoa; Arthropoda; Malacostraca; Amphipoda; Gammaridae. The record is from RNAcentral.